CUUAAUAUUAUAUAUUAUACACUUAUAUAAAAUACAUAUUUACCAUUUACUACUUACUUAGUUGCUAUUAGAAUUAAUUUUAUUAUUUUUACUAUGUUAAAUUUUGAAUAUUAGAAUUUCGAAUUUAAAACUCUUAAAUGUUAAUUUUAUGACUUACGUAAAAAGACAAAGAUUGUCUUGACUCUUGUGAUUAUAAAUAUUAAUUUUAAGAUAUUGAUGUUAUUAAUGUCAAAUAUUAUGAUUUAUAUGAGUCAAAGGGUAAUUGUUAUGUUUUCUUUACACUUAGAUUAUUAAUAUAUUUUAUAAUUCUGAAUGAAAUUUAUAAAUUUCAAUAUCGCAAUUUACAAAAGACAAGAGUGACAAUUUCUACUUUCUUUUAGUCCAAAGUCGAACUAAUCAAAUCAAUUCAAUUUUUGAUCGAUUCAAUUCUCUUUUUAAAUUUGGUUGGUUCAAUCCUUUUUCAAAAAAUUAAAUCCCUUUGAUCCUUAAUUAUGACGAAUUGAACCAACCAACCGAUGAAUUGUCCAUCCCUAAUUUUACUUUAGAGAGGAAAAACCAGAUAACAAAAGAACAUGGGAAAGAAGUGUUUGGGCUAGCCUAAGGCCCAAUUUAGCUAAUUUGUGCUUAGUCAAGUAUAAGCCCAACAUUAAUCUUAUACUAUAAAAUAACAUUUGAUACAUUAAUGUAUUAUAAAUUACAUUUCAUAUUAUAUAUUGUUAUAUUUAAUAUAAAACUAGACAAAUACUCGCGCUAUGCAGCAGGUUUGAAAAUUUUUAUAAACACUUAGAUGUUAAAAAUUAUGAACCGGUGAUAAAAAUUGUAAAAGUUGUUAUUGAUAUAAUCCUGCUAAUUAAUAUUUGACAUGUGUACAAUUUGUCAAUAAAUGCACAAAAACUAUCCUAAUAUGUACAAAAAUUGUUCUCAUUCUCAAUGAGCAGAAUAUUAUCCUAAAAAAAAAACAAUAACCCUACUAAUUAAUAUUCAACAUAUCUACAAAUAACAUCUAUUACAAAAUGUUAAAAAAAUUGUUCGUAUAAAUCAAUGAGCAAGCUGUUUGAAAAACAAAACAAAAGUAUUGCGCAUGCAUCCGCAAGAUAUGGGAGUUCUAGAGGUACAUGAUUCCCCUAGAUGCUCUAUUCAAUAUGGGGUUUUGGGAUUUUCAAAAUUACUGUAAAAAUCUUAGCAGCCUAAAAAAACCUUUGAUAGUAAGAUAACAGUCAACAAUAUAUCACAGAAAGCAAAGUGGCACAUAGAUCCAUACAUCAUGUUAAUUUAUUUUGAAAGGAGAAGACUCAAAGAGCAGGACUAGCCAAUUCCGAAAAAUUACAUGUACUAUGUAAUCAUUUUUGUCAAGGAAACCUAAGUAUGGUAGUCCCUGAUCUAAUACACCAUCCACCAUCAAUAUUACUUAUCUCUUAACCAAUAACACAGUGACAAUUAGGAUAAAAGCUCUAAAGACUGAAAAAGCUAUGUUGGUGGUGAUGAAAUAAAUCUUAACAAAAAGGAUGCCUCUUUUAUUUUAUUCCUAAUUAGAUUAUCUAUUAAUUGUUGCUAUUGAAGAGAGAAGCAAUUACACAGUUAAACUAGCAAAGUAGAAAUAAAGAAAAUUGAAACCAAAAUUUUUAUGAAAAAGAGAAUUUGAAAGCAGGAACCUAACUACAAAAUCUUCUACACCAAGGUUUUGAUACAAUAGCUAAUAGUAAUGUCUAAGUCCAACCAUUCACAGCAUUAGCUUUACGCUAGUGUCAUAGAAAGGUUUGGUUCAUUCUCAGUGUGAAUUGUAGAGAGGCAAUAACAGUUUACUUGCACAACAGGUAACCAAUCAUAAAUGUAAUUAGUAAUUUUUUAGCCUCCAUACUGAUCCAAGUGGCCAUUAUUUUACUUUACGCUCAAGGAAUGUUCAUUUUUCAUACUUUUGGCAUGUAGAUUGCCCGCUGUAAAGAGGGUUCUUGUGAUAGGGAGAGGAAACGUUGCAAACAAGUAAAAUGAUGUGCCAGAGGUGACAGAGAGGAAGAUUGAAGCAGUUCCUGAAGUACUAAAUGCUGUGACAGGUGGAAGACAAUAAGAAAAGACUUAAAGAGACUUAGAGAGUACAAGAUAAUUAGAGAGAGAAGCUCUCAAGUUGAGAAUGUGUUAACUUGAAGGGGGAGAGAAGAGUCCUCCCAAUGAGGCUCUAUAUAUAGUGCUAAAAGUGACGGUUACAUAAAAAUAGGCUUUAAUACGCCUAAUGAAUGACAUUAUUAUGAAGAAUAUUAAUUAAAGUAACCGUUACUGUAAUUAGAUGUAGUAAGACUUGUUCUCAAGUAAAGGUAAUAGAAAAGAGGUGUACAAGAAUAGGUACAAGAGAAGAAGCUGUACGAGAAUAGGUACAAGAGAAUAAGCUGUACAUGAAUAAGUAUAUGAGAACAAGAUAAGAGGGUGAAACACUUGUACUUCAAGAAAGGGUUAAGAGGAAGACCUCUUAACUACCUCCAUAUCUGAGCCACCAAGCCAAACUCUCUGAAACAUCCCAAGAUGAAAGUAACCCAUGAACCCUGCCACUUAUUCUGAGUUACUUUCACUGUCAUCCAAGUGAAGCGGUUAUUCUAUUCAAAGUGGUUGUUCUACUUGUAUUAGUUAUUCUAUAUGGAGUAAUACUUUACUUUUUCUAAUUGUUCUGCUUUAAGUAAUACUUGAAGUAGCGCUUCACUUGUUCUGCGUGAAGUAGCGCUUCACUUGUUCUGCGUGAAGUAACGCUUCACUUGUUCUAGUUAUUCUGCGUGAAGUAACACUUCACUUGUUCUGGUUGUUCUCUAUAUAAUAUUAUGUUGUAACAUAAUUCUUUAGAGUAACAGUAUUAACCAAAAUCUAGUAUCUACAUUUUGCCCCCUGCAUAAGAAUUCAUUGUUAAAAAUAAUUCUUAUGUAUUAAUUUAAAGUAUAAUUUUUUUUGUACUAUAACGUAUUGUAUUGUAUUACUUUGAACAGUAAUGCCUUGGGCAGUACUACUUUAGACAGUAACACCUUAGCCAGUAAUACUUUAGGUAGUAACACAUUACUGUCUUGUGUAAGGUGUACUACUAAUUUUAAUUAAUUUUUUUUUAUCAAUAUCUUUUGUAAUAUAUGAUUGAUUAUGCAAUAAUAUUUAAUAUCUUUCGUAAUAUUUGAUUGUAUUUUUUUUUUUUAAUGUCAAUAUCUUUUGUAAUAUUUUAUUGAUUAUGCAAUAAUAUUUAAUAUCUUUUUCAUAAAAACCUUGAUUCUAUGUGGCUUAUAAAUAUCAAGUUAUUACAAACAAUUUUCUUCAUUCAAAUUUAAAGUAAAGCAAAAACAAAUUUCAGAGCAAAGUCGAUUCUUUUGCGGAUCUUUUCAAGUAAGUAAGUUUUUUUUUUUUUUUAUUAGUUGAAUUUCUCAUACUUGUUGCCCCCUGCAUGAAAUUUUUUUUUUAUUAAAAUAUGAGGAAAGAGAAAAAAAAAUUUCAUGCAUGAGAUAUUUUGAUUAUAAAAGAAAAUCAUAAAGUAAGAACAUUUAUGUUACCUUGGCUUUGUUUUAAUCUUUUAUUACUCUGACUCAUUGCAAGGUAGCUGUGGUUUCUAUUUGCUUUUUGAAUCUUACAAAUUGGAGUAAUAGGCUUCUUAAUUUAUUUAUUAUUAUUUUUUAAGUAUAAUUUAUUGUUUUUAUUUUGACAUAUAGUGUUUAAUAGAAAAGAGAAAUAUUAGAAUAAAGAAAUCAAGAAAAAAAAAUUAAAGUGAACGGCAUGUUAGGAAGGAGAAAUACUAGAAUAAAGAAACAAACUAGUAAAUGCAUAAAAAGUUGGCAAAAGCUGCAUGUCUUUCUUUUGUCUUUUGUUUGACUUUGACCCUUGUCUUUUGUUUUGCAUAAAAGCUAACAAAACUGAACGGCAUGUCUUUCUAAUUUUUUUUUUAUUAUUUUACUUGGGCUUGUACUAUGACUUUGACUUGUGUUAUGCCUUGCUCUAGCUUUAAAGUAAAAACUUUUUAAGUGAAGCUCGCGGCAUGUGCCGCGAGCAAUUUUAAGUGAAGCUCGCGGCAUGUGCCGCGAGCAUUUUUAAGUGAAGCUCGCGGCACAUUUUUAAGUGAUUUGCCGCGAGCUCUUUUUAACAAAGCUCGCAGCAAGCGUUGCGAGUUCCUUAAAUAUUAUAUAUAUAUUUAAAAUGUUAUAUAUAUAAUUUUUUUUUUUAAGUUUUACUUAUUUAUUAUAUAUAUUUAUUUAUAUUGCAUAUAAAAAUAAUAAUAAUAUAAAAAUCUAUAAUUUUGAUAAGUUUUAUUGUUUUACUUUAUGGUUGUGAUUUUUUUUAUGCAUAAUAAAUAAGUAAAAAUAAAAAAAAUUAUUACGUAUGUAUACUUAUCUCUUUUUUCAUGAUCAUGUUUGUAGGCAGCUUUUUCCAUCAUCCUCUAUGCCUAGGACGCGUGUCCCUCCGAAGAUCAAUUAUGGUGAGCCUGGAAGAGUUGCAACAAGGAAGAAAACCACUGCACAUAAAAGGAAGAAUAGUGAUUCCAAAUUAGUUGCUCCCAAGAAAAUUAGAGUAGGAAAGAGUGGUGAAGUUCCUCCUGUUCUUGAAAAUUGGGAAGAUGAAAUUAUUAGAAAAAUAAGAGAAGAUCGUUUUUGGGGAGAAGUUCGUGCCAGACAGGUUAACGAACAUCCCUCUAAGUCUGUUGGAUAUGAUUGGAAUCGUUUAUUCUCAAAAGCACCUCCUCAUAGAAGAAGUGGUAUUCCAGGACCAUCUAUUCUGAAAUUCAGGUUUGAACGUGGUGAGUUUCCCCUUUCUGCUACUAAGUUAGGGUCCAAUUCUCAAUUUGUUCAUGGUUGGGAUGAAUGGGUAACUAAAGUAUUGAAGAAUCCUUCUUAUGUUAAACUUCUCUCUUCUGCUGGGAUACUUGAUGCUAUACGUAUCACUUCUAAGCUCAAUAUUCGUAGAGAAAAAAGGAUAAAUGUGUGGCGUGCUAUUCUUGCGAAGUGGAGCACGUUUUCUCAUACUAUGAUUACUGCAUGGGGGGAAUUUACCUUCACUCUAGAAGAUGUGUGUGUUCUCUUGGAACUUCCUUGUAUAGGAAAGGAUGAUUUUCACUCUAUUAAGCUUUCUGAAGAAGAGGUAUGUACUCAAGACUUUCUUUGAUCUACUUAAGAGUCUGAGUAAAACUUCGAAGGUUGCACGAUUUUUCAAUUGGAUAAGGAUUUUUUAUAAAAAGUUCAAUGCUAAAGGAAUUGAGAUUGAUUCUCCUAAGUACCCAAACCAUAAGUAUGAGCUAGUAACUUUAAUAAUUUUUUGAUUGGCACGACACGUACUCCCAAGGUGUCCAGAUGAUGGUAUCUCCUCAGCAGUUGUUCCUUUAGCAAUAAAAAUUGUUAAGGGAAUACGCUUUCCUCUUGCUCCACUGUAUUUAGGAUCCCUAUAUAAGAGAUUAGACUUAUACCAACUCAAAACUAUUGAGUCAGCUGGGCGUUACAAGGUUUUGACUUAUGUGGAUGUUUCCUUCAUUCAGAUGUGCUUAUGGGAAAGGUUUGGCACUUGUGCUCCCAUGCCUAAUGCAUAUCCUUUUGCAUCUUUUUCUAUGAAUAACCCUUUAUCCAGAAACAACUAUAGAGCUUGGGCAUGGCAUGAUCGACUACAAAGGGGUAAUGUUCUUGAAGUGAUGGAUGUUACAAAAGAAUUCAAUCUCAGACCUUAUGUGCAGCCUAUAAAUGGAUUUGGUGAUCCUGCAAUUUAUUAUGACCUUCAUUCUCUACAGUCUAGAAGAAUGAGCUCACGAGGUAUUAACUUUUGUAUAUGGGUUCAUAGUUCCCAUUUACCUUCUAUGAUUGAGAGUUUUAGUUCUGGUGGAGAUAGAAACUUUCGUUCUGUUGAAGUGUAUUCUCCUUAUAGAGUGGCACGUCAAUUUGGAUUUGACCAACCAGCUCCACCUGACUCCUCUUCGCCUAUCAACUUUUAUUCUUGCGUUUCUUCAUUUCUCAUGAAAGGACUUUCACUCCGUUCAGAUAAACUGAAAAGUUGUACUGUCCCAGCUUUUGAUAGAGUUGGUAUCCACACUUCUGGAUGGUUUGCUUAUUGGAUGGAGUGUGUUGAAGAAUGGAGAUAUUUUAUUGUUCCUUUGACUAAUCCCAAAGCUUGUCUCUACACUUUUUUUAUAAGUAACUCCGAUGUAUCCUUACGCUUGAUUUCUCUCAAAAAGAAAAGAAAUGUAAAUGCAGAAAAAGAUGAUGUUCCUCGCGCUCUUACUCAUCAAACAGAACAUGUGCAUCGAAAAGUAAGUUCAUCUUUUACUUCUUCUUUUACUUUUUUUUUAAAAUAUUUUUUUUUUGUAGAGAGAAACAACUGUGAGAGUAGAACUUAAACUCGAUUGAAGAGGAAGAAACUUUUGAAGCUGAGACUGAGGAAGAAUCAUGUGACUCUGAACGUAGUGAUGAAUUUGAUAAUGAGUCUGUUGAUGUUGAUGAAGCUAAAAAUGAGAGUGAGCUAGCCCCUUUUGAUGAUUUAAUUGAUUUGAAUGUUCUAUUUCCAAAUCAUGUUCAGAGCUUUAUUCCCCAAGUUAUUCAAGAUGAGGCUAUUCUUAAUACCGAGGUUGUUCCUAACACUGAGGUUAUUUCUGCUAUUGAGAUUGUACCUGAUGUUAGAGUUGAUGCUGGAGCUAUUCUUGAUGUUGUCAUCAAUAAUGUCGGAGCAACUUCCAAUAUUGAGGUUGUUCAUGAUGUUGGAGUUGUUACUAAUGAUGCUAGAGCUACUCCGAUUAAUUCUCGUGCUUCUUCCNGUGAGAGUAGAACUUAAACUCGAUUGAAGAGGAAGAAACUUUUGAAGCUGAGACUGAGGAAGAAUCAUGUGACUCUGAACGUAGUGAUGAAUUUGAUGAUAAGUCUGUUAAUGUUGAUGAAGCUGAAAGUGAAGGUGAGCUAGCCCCUUUUGAUGAUGUCCUUGAUUUGGAUGUUCUAUUUUCAAAUCAUGUUCAGAGCUUUAUUCCCCAAGUUAUUCAAGAUGAGGCUAUUCUUAAUACCGAGGUUGUUCCUAACACUGAGGUUAUUUCUGCUGUUGAGAUUGUACCUGAUGUUAGAGUUGAUGUUGGAGCUAUUCUUGAUGUUGUCAUCAAUAAUGUCGGAGCAACUUCCAACAUUGAGGUUGUUCAUGAUGUUGGAGUUGUUACUAAUGAUGCUAGAGCUACUCCGUUUAAUUAUCGUGCUUCUUCCUCCCCAGUACCAGAACACAAAGAUGCAAGUAGUGCUUCUGGCACUCAAAUAACACAUACUAAACAAAGUGGUAAGAAAGUUGACUUCCAUGGCUUUCAAGUUUCAUUGGAGUAUGUGGCAUACUUGGAGCAUGUUUUCAAUAUAGAAAGAGUUUUGGAGUACCUCCCUUGUAAAGAACGUAGACAUCAUUUGCUUAAUGAUGGAAGUGUUGGGUAGAGCUUUAGCCAUUUCCCAUGCUCCACUAAUGAGUACUUCACCAGAGGAAUUGCAACAGAUGUUACAGGAUUUCGAUGAUGCUUGUAACUUUGGAUUCAAGCUUGAAUGCCUCAAUGAUUGUAGAUCUAAAGCCAAGAUUUUUCUCAACAAGUCUUUCUUGGAGAAUGAGUUAGAAGACAUUGCAGCGAAGAUAGCUUCACUGAAAAAACGUGAAGCUGAAGUACAAGAACAAUUAGUUGUAUUUGCCAAUAAUAACUCUUCUCUAUGGAGUAUGUAAUUGACUAGUCUUUUGCUUUUCUUUUACUCUUUUUGAAAGCUCAUUUGAGCUAGUACUCCGCUAUUGAUAUAUCAUAUUUCUUUUUCUUUUGCAAUAAUAAUAAUGCUAUACGCUUGUUGCGUAGGUGUUUACAUUUCAUAUUAUUGUAUGUGGCCAAAAAGAAACUCUCAACUUUUCAUCAAGGAGAUUAACUCUAACUUGAUAUGAAUGAGGUUAAUUCAACCCUUAAAAUAAGUAAGCGUAAGAGCUGCGGCCAAUUUGUGAGUAAUAAGCUAGGGCCAAGAAAUGAGCGAUAAAGCUAGCGCCCAAUAGCAUAACAUCAUUACAGCCAAAUUAUGAGCGAUAAAACUAGCGGCUAGAAUGUGAAUAAUAAAUUAUGGUCAAAGAAUAAACGAUAAAGCUUGCGACCAAAAGUAUAAUAUCAUUGCAGCCAAAAUAUGAGCGGUAAAGCUUGCGACUGAAGUAAGAAUAUCAUUGCAGCCAAAAUAUGAACGGUAAAGCUUGCGACUGAAGUAAGAAUAAUGAACAAUGGUCAAAGAAUAAGCAAUAAAGCUUGCGACCAAUAGUAUAAUAUAAUUACAGCCAAAAUAUAAGCGAUAAAGCUAGCGGUUGAAUAUGAAUUUUUUUUUAAUGUCAAAUUGCAAUUCAUAAAGCGAUGAAGAGUUAAAGUCAUAGAAAUAUCACACAUGAGCAGGAAGCAAGUUGUUCUGGACCUUGUUGUUCUCAAUCAACAACUCUUCUACUUGCAUUUUCUUAUGAAAUAUUCCCUUUUAAAAAGGAUCUCUUUUUUCUCUACCUUUUUCUUAAAUUGCAUUCACUGUUGAAGUAUUCUUUCUAUCGAAGCAAGUAGCUCUCUUUUGUUUGAGAACCGUAUUAUUGGUUCUUCUUGCCAUUUCCAUUAACGAAGUAAAAGUUGGAAGAGGUAAAUUCUGCUAGUGUAGCCUACACUCGUCAAACUUUUUUUUUUGAAUGCAAACCAUCACCAACUCCUUCUCAUCAUAAAACUCUUGUAUAUCCAACACCCUUUCUCUAAAGUGUUAGAUGUAUUUCAUGAGGUCUUCUUUGAACUUUUGAUAUUCUGUUCCCAAAUCAAGGAGAUUAACCUUCUCUUGAGUAGAGAAAAAGAACUCCUCCCUAAACAUCCACAUCGAUUGUAGUUUCUCCAUUUCCUUCAUUCCCCUUAGUGUUUGUAACUAGAGGAAUGACUUUGUCAGGUGCAUUCUCAUUAAAGUAUACAGAUUGAGCUUGAAAAAUGAUGGAAGUGAAAGAUGCAAGUUGAGAUAUGGUCUCCAACAUCCGCCUAUUGUUGUCUUCUAGCAUUUGCAUUCUCUCUUAAGAAGCCUCAAUCAUUUUCAUCAACUUUUGGAUGUAGGUUGGAAUAGAUGUAUCUUGGUUACUAAAGGAACUGUCUAUUACUUCCAAUAACGCAAAGUUUUUCUAGUAAGCUUUUACUUAAUGUAAUCACUCCUCCCUAGUGGAGUCGCCAAAAUGUAAAGGGGAUUCUUGUGAUAGGGAGAGGAAGCGUUGCAAACAAGUAAAAUGAUGUGCCAAAGGCGACAGAGAGAAAGAUUGAAGCAGUUCCUGAAGUACUAAGUGCUGUGGCAGGUGGAAGACAAUAAGAAGAGACUUAAAGAGACUUAUAGAGUACAAGAUAAUUAGAGAGAGAAUUUAAGGAGAGAAGCUCUCAAGUUGAGAAUCUGUUAGCUUAGAGGGGGGAGAAAAGUCCCUCUAAAUGAAUUGUGAAGCUCUAUAUAUAGUGCUAAAAGUGACUGUUACUCAAGAAUAGGAUUUAAUGCGCCUAAUAAAUGACAUUAUUAUGAAGNUUGAAUUGUGAGGCUCUAUAUAUAAUGCUAAAAGUGACGGUUACAUAAAAAUAGGCUUUAAUACGCCUAAUGAAUGACAUUAUUAUGAAGAAUAUUAAUUAACGUAACCGUUACUGUGAUUGGAUGUAGUAAGACUUGUUCUCAAGUAAAGGUAAUAGAAAAGAGGUGUACAAGAAUAGGUACAAGAGAAGAAGCUGUACGAGAAUAGAUACAAGAGAAUAAGCUGUACAUGAAUAAGUAUACGAGAACAAGAUAAGAGGGUGAAACACUUGUACUUCAGGAAAGGAUUAAGAGGAAGACCUCUUA
This 9794-nucleotide long non-coding RNA is filed under the name Theobroma cacao (cacao). RNAcentral's name for it is "long non-coding RNA (TCAC_LNC004941)". Lineage: Eukaryota; Viridiplantae; Streptophyta; Magnoliopsida; Malvales; Malvaceae. The record is from RNAcentral.